Gorilla gorilla gorilla (western lowland gorilla) is the source of this 1724-nucleotide RNA transcript. It is a transcript of the gene named Rho guanine nucleotide exchange factor 39, with no coding region annotated. NCBI's taxonomy places the organism in Eukaryota, Metazoa, Chordata, Mammalia, Primates, Hominidae. The record is from RefSeq and is a predicted model, not a curated record. The transcript has 10 exons.
GCGAGCGGCUGGGAUUUGAAUCUGCCGCGGACUGCAGCCGGAAGUGUCGAUCCCUCAGCCAGGCAUGGAGCUCUCCUACCCCGGUGCGCGGUGCCCGGUGCAAGAGCAGCGUGCCCGCUGGGAGCGGAAACGCGCCUGCACCGCCCGGGAGCUGCUAGAGACCGAGCGGCGCUACCAAGAACAGCUGGGGCUGGUGGCCACGUACUUUUUGGGGAUCCUGAAAGCCAAGGGGAUCCUGCGACCACCUGAGCGCCAGGCCCUGUUUGGCUCCUGGGAGCUCAUCUACGGCGCCAGCCAGGAGCUGCUUCCCUACCUGGAAGGAGGAUGCUGGGGCCAAGGGCUGGAGGGCUUCUGCCGCCACUUGGAGCUCUAUAACCAAUUUGCUGCCAACUCAGAGAGGUCCCAGACCACCCUGCAGGAGCAGCUAAAGAAAAAUAAAGGUUUCCGGAGGUUUGUACGGCUUCAGGAAGGCCGCCCUGAGUUUGGGGGCCUUCAGCUCCAGGACCUGCUCCCUCUGCCUCUGCAACGGCUCCAGCAGUAUGAGAAUCUCGUCGUAGCUUUGGCUGAAAACACAGGUCCCAACAGCCCUGACCAUCAACAGCUCACACGGGCUGCCCGACUGAUAAGUGAGACUGCCCAGAGAGUCCAUACUAUUGGUCAGAAACAGAAGAAUGACCAGCACCUUCGGCGUGUCCAGGCUCUGCUCAGUGGACGCCAGGCAAAGGGGCUGACCUCAGGGCGCUGGUUCCUACGCCAGGGCUGGCUGUUGGUGGUGCCUCCCCAUGGGGAGCCUCGGCCCCGCAUGUUCUUCCUCUUCACUGAUGUGCUCCUCAUGGCCAAGCCUCGGCCUCCACUGCACCUGCUGCGGAGUGGCACCUUUGCCUGCAAGGCCCUCUACCCCAUGGCCCAGUGUCAUCUCAGCAGGGUCUUUGGCCACUCAGGAGGCCCUUGUGGUGGGUUGCUCAGUCUCCAUGGAAACAGCAAGGGCUUCAGCUUUAGCCUGGACCUUUCUGAGCCAUGCGCUAAGAGGUGGUCUCUCUCUAGCUGUCCUUCCCUCAUGAGAAGCUACUGCUUAUGUCCACAGACCAGGAGGAGCUGUCACGCUGGUACCACAGUCUGACUUGCGCUAUCAGCAACCAGAAAAACUAGAGGAAUCUUAUAGAUUCCAGAACUCAGGAUACCUCAGGGAUAGGUCACAGCCAAGAGGACAAAGGAAUCUUCAGUACUGAACAAAACAGAACCCUUCAUGAUUUGACAAAGGUCACUUUCUGUUUGCCUGGACCAAGCUACUCCAGAUCAUCUGACCAACUCUUAAAAAUCACGGGGCCAGGCACAAUGGCUCAUGCCUGUAAUCCCAGCACUUUGGGAAGCAGAGGUGGCAGGAUCAUUCCAGCCCAGGAGUUCAAGACCAGCCUGGGCAACACAGGCCUCCUCCCAAGGAGAACAUGAGACCACUUCAUAUCUGGAACUCUAGAAACACUGGCUGCAGCAAUCAACCUCCUGUGCCAAGGUUGGCCCCACUCUUGUAGCAUGGACACUGCUAGCUGGGUUCAAAUCCCAGCUCCAGCAGUUGCCAGCGCUGGGUGACCUCGAGCAAGUGACUACUCCUCACUGGAUUGUAGGAGAACUAAAUGUGAUAGUCAUUAUUUACAGUUCACCACACGCUCUUCACAUCCGUUACCUCCCUGGAUCCUCAAAAUAACCUCAUAAUAUUGGAAGGCCAA